Non-coding RNA from Picea glauca (white spruce), 121 nucleotides. Lineage: Eukaryota; Viridiplantae; Streptophyta; Pinopsida; Pinales; Pinaceae. The record is from Rfam.
ACAUGCCUACAACAUAGCAUUAAUGCAGUGGAUCCCAUUAGAAAUCUGAAUUUAAGAGCGCUUAGGCUAGAGUAGUAUUGGUAUGGGUGACCUCCCAGGAAGUCCUAGUGUUUUACAUGCC